GGUGUGACUGCGUACCUUUUGUAUAAUGGGUCAGCGACUUAUAUUCUGUAGCAAGGUUAACCGAAUAGGGGAGCCGGAGGGAAACCGAGUCUUAACCGGGCGUUAAGUUGCAGGGUAUAGACCCGAAACCCGGUGAUCUAGCCAUGGGCAGGUUGAAGGUUGGGUAACACUAACUGGAGGACCGAACCGACUAAUGUUGAAAAAUUAGCGGAUGACCUGUGGCUGGGGGUGAAAGGCCAAUCAAACCGGGAGAUAGCUGGUUCUCCCCGAAAGCUAUUUAGGUAGCGCCUCGUGAAUUCAUCUCCGGGGGUAGAGCACUGUUUCGGCUAGGGGGCCAUCCCGGCUUACCAACCCGAUGCAAACUGCGAAUACCGGAGAAUGUUAUCACGGGAGACACACGGCGGGUGCUAACGUCCGUCGUGAAGAGGGAAACAACCCAGACCGCCAGCUAAGGUCCCAAAGUCAUGGUUAAGUGGGAAACGAUGUGGGAAGGCCCAGACAGCCAGGAUGUUGGCUUAGAAGCAGCCAUCAUUUAAAGAAAGCGUAAUAGCUCACUGGUCGAGUCGGCCUGCGCGGAAGAUGUAACGGGGCUAAACCAUGCACCGAAGCUGCGGCAGCGACGCUGAUGCGUUGUUGGGUAGGGGAGCGUUCUGUAAGCCUGCGAAGGUGUGUCGUGAGGCAUGCUGGAGGUAUCAGAAGUGCGAAUGCUGACAUAAGUAACGAUAAAGCGGGUGAAAAGCCCGCUCGCCGGAAGACCAAGGGUUCCUGUCCAACGUUAAUCGGGGCAGGGUGAGUCGACCCCUAAGGCGAGGCCGAAAGGCGUAGUCGAUGGGAAACGGGUUAAUAUUCCCGUACUUGGUGUUACUGCGAAGGGGGGACGGAGAAGGCUAUGUUGGCCGGGCGACGGUUGUCCCGGUUUAAGCGUGUAGGUGUGUGUUCCAGGUAAAUCCGGUUCACUUUAACACUGAGGCGUGAUGACGAGGCACUACGGUGCUGAAGCAACAAAUGCCCUGCUUCCAGGAAAAGCCUCUAAGCAUCAGGUAACAUCAAAUCGUACCCCAAACCGACACAGGUGGUCAGGUAGAGAAUACCAAGGCGCUUGAGAGAACUCGGGUGAAGGAACUAGGCAAAAUGGUGCCGUAACUUCGGGAGAAGGCACGCUGACACGUAGGUGAAGUGAUUUACUCAUGGAGCUGAAGUCAGUCGAAGAUACCAGCUGGCUGCAACUGUUUAUUAAAAACACAGCACUGUGCAAACACGAAAGUGGACGUAUACGGUGUGACGCCUGCCCGGUGCCGGAAGGUUAAUUGAUGGGGUCAGCGCAAGCGAAGCUCCUGAUCGAAGCCCCGGUAAACGGCGGCCGUAACUAUAACGGUCCUAAGGUAGCGAAAUUCCUUGUCGGGUAAGUUCCGACCUGCACGAAUGGCGUAAUGAUGGCCAGGCUGUCUCCACCCGAGACUCAGUGAAAUUGAACUCGCUGUGAAGAUGCAGUGUACCCGCGGCAAGACGGAAAGACCCCGUGAACCUUUACUAUAGCUUGACACUGAACAUUGAGCCUUGAUGUGUAGGAUAGGUGGGAGGCUUUGAAGUGUGGACGCCAGUCUGCAUGGAGCCGGCCUUGAAAUACCACCCUUUAAUGUUUGAUGUUCUAACGUGGACCCGUGAUCCGGGUUGCGGACAGUGUCUGGUGGGUAGUUUGACUGGGGCGGUCUCCUCCUAAAGAGUAACGGAGGAGCACGAAGGUUGGCUAAUCCUGGUCGGACAUCAGGAGGUUAGUGCAAUGGCAUAAGCCAGCUUGACUGCGAGCGUGACGGCGCGAGCAGGUGCGAAAGCAGGUCAUAGUGAUCCGGUGGUUCUGAAUGGAAGGGCCAUCGCUCAACGGAUAAAAGGUACUCCGGGGAUAACAGGCUGAUACCGCCCAAGAGUUCAUAUCGACGGCGGUGUUUGGCACCUCGAUGUCGGCUCAUCACAUCCUGGGGCUGAAGUAGGUCCCAAGGGUAUGGCUGUUCGCCAUUUAAAGUGGUACGCGAGCUGGGUUUAGAACGUCGUGAGACAGUUCGGUCCCUAUCUGCCGUGGGCGCUGGAGAACUGAGGGGGGCUGCUCCUAGUACGAGAGGACCGGAGUGGACGCAUCACUGGUGUUCGGGUUGUCAUGCCAAUGGCACUGCCCGGUAGCUAAAUGCGGAAGAGAUAAGUGCUGAAAGCAUCUAAGCACGAAACUUGCCCCGAGAUGAGUUCUCCCUGAGACUUAGAGUCUCCUGAAGGAACGUUGAAGACGACGACGUUGAUAGGCCGGGUGUGUAAGCGCAGCGAUGCGUUGAGCUAACCGGUACUAAUGAACCGUGAGGCUUAACCUUACAACGCCGAAG
RNAcentral lists this ribosomal RNA (2369 nucleotides) under Salmonella enterica subsp. enterica serovar Johannesburg. RNAcentral's name for it is "partial 23S ribosomal RNA". It matches the Rfam family "Bacterial large subunit ribosomal RNA", at positions 590 to 2925 of the family's 2925-position model. The record is from RNAcentral. Lineage: Bacteria; Pseudomonadati; Pseudomonadota; Gammaproteobacteria; Enterobacterales; Enterobacteriaceae.